AGCCUCAGAGGUGAAGCACACCAAAAUGCAAAUUUGGAGACGCACCCCAACAGGUGCCGGGGCUU
RNAcentral lists this transfer RNA (65 nucleotides) under Gehyra variegata. Its description in RNAcentral is "tRNA-Cys". The record is from RNAcentral. Lineage: Eukaryota; Metazoa; Chordata; Lepidosauria; Squamata; Gekkonidae.